UACGAAGGGGGCUAGCGUUGUUCGGAAUUACUGGGCGUAAAGCGCGCGCAGGCGGCUAUCCAAGUCAGUGGUGAAAGCCCGGAGCUCAACUCCGGAACUGCCAUUGAAACUGUUUAGCUUGAGGAUGAGAGAGGUGAGUGGAAUUCCCAGUGUAGAGGUGAAAUUCGUAGAUAUUGGGAAGAACACCGGUGGUGAAGGCGGCUCACUGGCUCAUUACUGACGCUCAGGCGCGAUAGCGUGGGGAUCAAACAGG
RNAcentral lists this ribosomal RNA (253 nucleotides) under uncultured bacterium. RNAcentral's name for it is "partial 16S ribosomal RNA". It matches the Rfam family "Bacterial small subunit ribosomal RNA", at positions 524 to 776 of the family's 1533-position model. The record is from RNAcentral.